GACGAACGCUGGCGGCGUGCUUAACACAUGCAAGUCGAACGGAAAGGCCCUGCUUUUGUGGGUUGCUCGAUUGGCGAGCGGGUGAGUGACACGUGAGUAACCUGCCCUUAACUUUGGGAUAACUUCAGGGAACUGGGGCUAAUACCGGGUAGGAUCUCCUGAUGCGUGGUGUGGGUUGGAAAGUUUCGGCGGUUGGGGAUGGACUCGCGGCUUAUCAGCUGGUUGGUGGGGUAGGGGCUUACCAGGGCUUUGACGGGUAGCCGGCCUGGGAGGGUGAACGGGCACAAUGGGCCUGAGAGAGGCCCCAGACUGCAACCGGCGGCAGUAGGGGGGAACAUUGCACAACGGGCGGACGUCAGAUGUAGAAAUCUUGCGUGCGGGAUGCUGGCCUUCGGGUUGUAAACAGCUGUCGCAGGUGAUGAAGCGUGAGUGACGGUAACGGGUAAAGAAGCACCGGCUAACUACGUG
Molecule: ribosomal RNA, 468 nt
Filed under: uncultured bacterium
Lineage: Bacteria
Description: partial 16S ribosomal RNA
Rfam family: Bacterial small subunit ribosomal RNA
Source: RNAcentral